GCGGCUGUAGUUCAGUUGGUUAGAGCACAGGAUUGUGAUUCCUGGUGUCGGGGGUUCGAAUCCCCUCAGCCGCCCCA
RNAcentral lists this transfer RNA (77 nucleotides) under Holophagales bacterium. RNAcentral describes it as "tRNA-His". It matches the Rfam family "tRNA". From Rfam's summary of the family: Transfer RNA (tRNA) molecules are approximately 80 nucleotides in length. Their secondary structure includes four short double-helical elements and three loops (D, anti-codon, and T loops). Further hydrogen bonds mediate the characteristic L-shaped molecular structure. tRNAs have two regions of fundamental functional importance: the anti-codon, which is responsible for specific mRNA codon recognition, and the 3' end, to which the tRNAs corresponding amino acid is attached (by aminoacyl-tRNA synthetases). tRNAs cope with the degeneracy of the genetic code in two manners: having more than one tRNA (with a specific anti-codon) for a particular amino acid; and 'wobble' base-pairing, i.e. permitting non-standard base-pairing at the 3rd anti-codon position. Lineage: Bacteria; Pseudomonadati; Acidobacteriota; Holophagae; Holophagales. The record is from RNAcentral.